This 497-nucleotide ribosomal RNA is filed under the name uncultured bacterium. RNAcentral's name for it is "partial 16S ribosomal RNA". It matches the Rfam family "Bacterial small subunit ribosomal RNA", at positions 28 to 507 of the family's 1533-position model. The record is from RNAcentral.
GACGAACGCUGGCGGCGUGCCUAAUACAUGCAAGUUGAGCGCUGAAGGUUGGUACUUGUACCAACUGGAUGAGCAGCGAACGGGUGAGUAACGCGUGGGGAAUCUGCCUUUGAGCGGGGGACAACAUUUGGAAACGAAUGCUAAUACCGCAUAAAAACUUUAAACACAAGUUUUAAGUUUGAAAGAUGCAAUUGCAUCACUCAAAGAUGAUCCCGCGUUGUAUUAGCUAGUUGGUGAGGUAAAGGCUCACCAAGGCGAUGAUACAUAGCCGACCUGAGAGGGUGAUCGGCCACAUUGUGACUGAGACACGGCCCAAACUCCUACGGGAGGCAGCAGUAGGGAAUCCUCGGCAAUGGACGAAAGUCUGACCGAGCAACGCCGCGUGAGUGAAGAAGGUUUUCGGAUCGUAAAACUCUGUUGGUAGAGAAGAACGUUGGUGAGAGUGGAAAGCUCAUCAAGUGACGGUAACUACCCAGAAAGGGACGGCUAACUACGUG